GUGAUAUUUAUGAGGAAAAAAAUAUCAUUUAAACCUAAUGAAAAGGUUUUGCUGUGGAGUAGUUUAUCCCGCAGGAAAACUAUGCUGAUCAGGUGUCUACUCUAAGUUCGGCAUCAAAAUGGUGACCUCCAGGGAGUGAUGGGGAGCACCAGGUUGCCUAAGGAGGGGUGAACCGAUCCAGGUCGGAAACAGAGCAGGUCAAAACUCCUGUGCUGAUCAGCAGGAAAGCAAUCUUAUGAACACUGUGCCUUUAUGUGUAUUAGGAUUUGGAGCAU
This 275-nucleotide signal recognition particle RNA is filed under the name Mesocricetus auratus (golden hamster). RNAcentral describes it as "Metazoan signal recognition particle RNA (ENSMAUG00000003410.1)". The stretch from base 83 to 242 matches the Rfam family "Metazoan signal recognition particle RNA", at positions 96 to 252 of the family's 299-position model. Rfam says of the family: The signal recognition particle (SRP) is a universally conserved ribonucleoprotein. It is involved in the co-translational targeting of proteins to membranes. The record is from RNAcentral. Lineage: Eukaryota; Metazoa; Chordata; Mammalia; Rodentia; Cricetidae.